RNAcentral lists this unclassified non-coding RNA (238 nucleotides) under Hevea brasiliensis (rubber tree). Lineage: Eukaryota; Viridiplantae; Streptophyta; Magnoliopsida; Malpighiales; Euphorbiaceae. The record is from RNAcentral.
GGGUUUCACUUGUUCUUUUUUACUAGAAGGGCCACAUAGUUUAGUUGUAGUUUUGGAAAAGAUAUGUUUUAGGAUUUGAAUAGGACCCAAAACUUUUUAUACUUGGCUUCGUACCUUCCUCUUCUCCUCCAUUGCUUGUAUAUUAUUAUUAUCGUCUGCAUGCAUUCCAUGCAUCAUUGACCCUUUUCAUUGUGGAUUGAGUUUGCUCUUAUUUUAUUUAUGUUUUCAGGUGGUAGAG